Molecule: long non-coding RNA, 1184 nt
Organism: Grus americana (Whooping crane)
Lineage: Eukaryota; Metazoa; Chordata; Aves; Gruiformes; Gruidae
Exons: 4
Source: RefSeq, a predicted model, not a curated record
AUGACUCAUUUAUUCUAAAGGUUUAAUUCAGAAUUUAAAUCCUUCACUAAUCGUAAGACAUUGUUUAUGGUAUGAGCAAGGUUAUGCCAAGGUUCCUUCCGCUAGAGACCCAGGGGAGGGAGCUGGAUGAGAGUGCAUACCAGCUAGUAAAAGAAUGGGAUGAGACUCAUUUUCACUUGUGAAUUUUUAAAUCGUGGGUUUAUUUAUUCUUUCCAGAAAGCUGUGUUAGUUGGGUUGCUGAGAGUCCUUCUCCAAGGCUUUGGAGGCUGCUCACCACUGCAAAAACUUGUCAUACCCCUUCUGGAGGAAAGUAGGCUUUUAUUUUAAACAAAAACAAGGGAGAGAACAUCAACAGAACAGUAGUCAGUGUUAACUGCCAGUAACUAGAACAGCUAAUAGUAAGGAAAAUUAGGCUAGUAGAAUAACAAGCUUAAAUAGUGUAAUGCUUAACUAGCUGGCAUCUUGUCACAGUGAUAGGCAGAGUGGCUCGCAGCCAGAUCUGCCACCCUCAGCGGUGAUAUUUUCUGCCACUGCUGCUGCUGAUCCCACGGCCGCUGUUGGCGGCAGGAGGUCUGUAGUCCUGUGAAGGAGGCAGGGACGGAGUGGCAGACAGGUCACACUCUGAGAAUUUAGACAGGAUGGGAUUGGGGAGAAGCAGCUGUGCAUUUGAGAAAAAUACAGAUGAAAACAUUUCCGUUUAUCAUUACUUCAGGGAUAUGGGAUUAACCCAGAAAAAAUAUUCUAGAGGGAAGGAAAAGUGAUGGGCCACGAAUGAAAGGAUGAGAGGGCUGUGAUUCACCUUACUGGCAGUCUAAAAGAUACGUGUGUAGUGUAAAGCGAGAUAUUUAGCUACAUCUCUUAUCGGAGGAGAGAGAGAGGCCUCGCCACAGAGUGAUUCAUCCCAUCCCGAGACAGGUGCCACCACCCUGGUGAAAAGGAAUAUAUACCUGGAGUGCAGGUCCAAUCGAGAAAAGUGAAGUAAAUGUCCCAACUCUUACAUCCACCGAAAGAGUCGUUACGGGGAACUAGCCGUGCAUCUAACGCAGACUGCUGCAGCGAAGGUAUGUAAAAUAGAAGAUGCGUUGCUUUUAAAACUUUUACCGCUUAGGUUUUCUCAUACAUGUGUAAUGCACAUCUGUAAGCAAAUCAUCUUUGGAAAAAAUAGAUGGAAAAACCGCAAUGAG